Doryrhamphus excisus (bluestripe pipefish) is the source of this 5748-nucleotide long non-coding RNA. RefSeq lists it as uncharacterized. Lineage: Eukaryota; Metazoa; Chordata; Actinopteri; Syngnathiformes; Syngnathidae. The record is from RefSeq and is a predicted model, not a curated record.
CAAACACCUCCUCGUGACUUUAAUAGCUUCUGUGCAUACGUUAUAGUAUUUACCUUCCCGCUAUCUAGCGCCUUUUUCCUGAACUUCUGGUUGGCUUCACAUCUUAACAGUUCCACUUCUUCUUCGCUGUUAAACGUCCAGUAUUUUCUCUGUGAGCUGUCAUGGAACAUGUCUGCAAAACAGGACGUCAAACAUGUCAGAGAGAAAGCAAGUUAUCUUUGUAGGAUGCUCAAACUACGACAAGCUUUUCACUUGGCGCCAAUAAAGGUGCUAUAAAGCACUGCCAGCCUGCAUUAACCAUCCACAAGCAAAGAAUUAAAGCUUAACCAGCUGUUGCCUUGGCAACCAGUGUUUGAUGUCAUCAGGGACACCUCCAAGGACACUCGUACAGGCACAGGGUCAUAUGCACUGCAGCUGGGCAUCAACACCCAGCAGUAAGAUGGCCACCAAUCCACCUUUAAUCCUCCUUUAAACAAAAGAGGACGUGCAUGCUGGUUAUGUGUGACACUCCUGUGAGAUCCACCAGCUUGUCAAAAGAAAUUAGAAAUACAUUUUAAAGCCCCAUUUGCUUUUCUCAGGUUGGCAUUGUUUUUUGCACCCUUCCCCCUCCCCUGCAGACACUUAACGCUCCCCCACGGACCCUCCUCUCUUUCUCUCUAAUUGAGCUUUGUGUCUACCUCCACCCCCAUUCAAAUGUGGACUCAUUUGCAUAGCACCAUGGCCAGCUCCCCAGCUGUACAGUGGAGAACUAAAUGAGGAACACAGACCCACUUUACGUGAUGUGAAUACUAAGCAGCCAAGCGGCGUUGUUUGUGUGUUUCCUGGAAAUACAACAAGCACCUGAGAGAUGAACAGGAAGAGCACAUCAGUGAGCCAUCUGAAAAGACAUGCAGGAUGUAUUGUGAGAAGUAAAACGUUUCAGUGUUAUGUGUGAUAAAUUGAUGCGAAGGAGUCAUACAGUGCAAUUAUUAGAAACCAGGUGCCUUUCUACUGAGGGUUGCAUACAGAAAAAUCAAAGGAUGCCGGCGGUCAUUUUUAUAUUUUUCUAUUUUUUUUUAUUUUACAAAAAGGCUAAAAGAAAACUCUUUAUAUACAUUAAAGAUUUGUGUUAUUAUUUACGAGUACUAACAUGUCUGCUUUUUGUCUUUACUUUUGCCAUUUUGCUCUAUUUUUUUCAUUUUUUUGCACAAAACACACUUUGGACACCCCUGAUUUUAACUUUGCCCCAUAUCAGAAUGUCUAAUCAAGAAAUUACAAAAAAAGCAAGAAUUUCUUAGGAGAUACUUUUGACUCUUUUGAGGAGGCAAAAUGGGGUGCACUACUCCACUUCAACCAGCAGAGGCAUGCUGAGUAAACUACUGUAUUGACCUAUUUCCCCCUAUGAAAAGGUUAAAAAAAAAAAAAGAAAGACAUACCAUUGUUAUUAUCAGAGUCUAGAAAUGUAUUCACACAAACUGACUUCUCCUCAAGUAGGUCCAAGCUUUUCUUCUUGUCACUUGCACAUGCCAGUGUCCUGGACAGAUGCAGGCAUAACACCUGCUCUAAAAAAAAGUGUCUCAAUGAUAAUAAUUUAAAAAAGAGGUCUUUUAUUCAAGGUUGUCUUAUAUUUGCGUCAGUACGGUGUUUGUGAGGGAAAUGCAGGCCAAUCUCAUGCCUAAUGUGCUUGCCUGCGUUUUUGAUAUAGACUAUUAUACAAAUCCAUAUUCUACAUAAUUGAUGUGCCUGUAUUACUACAGCAUUGUAUCAGUACUCUAUCUCUCAUUGUUUGAAAAUACUGUUAGAGGAUUAGACAAUAAUAAGAACAUUAAAACAUACGACUAUCACCUUUAGUUGUCCAUAGGGCUGCGUCCAUGUAUUCUAGUACUUGUUGUUUCUCUUGUCUCAUAUAACAGAGCCCAUGUGUUUUGUAACUUUUUGUAUAGCUCAGCCUUGUUGAGCCAUGAACCAGGCCCAGCGAGAGCGUUUGUUCAUACACCAUUGACGAACCUCACCGAUGUUUGGCUUGAGUGCAUAGAGACACAAUUAUGCUGAAUUUUUUAUGCACUCCAAACACACUCAACGCCACAUGUUAAACACAACCUUAUAACGGCAACCUUUUAAGAACCAAAAACCCAAGGCCAAUUUUGAUUACAUACAUAUUGGCGAAGAUUUGUGACAUUUCAUCAAAUUCUAGGAUUCAGUCAUGGCUCAAGAAAUGCUCAUUAUGUAGGAAAAUCAAACUGCUUUGCUUUGUGCAUACCGCUUCCCAUGAAGUAAUGUGAGUGCUCUCAGGUGAAAGCUAAAUAAUUCAUGCCCAUUUCUAAACGGUUGCUCAUAUUUUAAGUACAGAAGAAGGUGGGAAACACACGUCUUGCUUUGCAAAUCCCUCUGGUGAACAACAUUUUUGAAAUGACUCUCAUAAUAGUAUGUCUCUAUACAGUAUAAUGUUAAAGCUAUGACAUUUGGGUGCUGUUCUUGCCUUUCCUGAAUGUGUAAUUAUUGAAUGUGUCACUGUGUACAUGUAAUAUGACAUUUUUUCAUAUUUAAAUUGAGUUUUUGUAAUAUCGCCUUCAUACUCAAAGCACCGUACAUUUGAAAUAAAGCAAUUGACAUGUGAUGGAAAUCUCAACAGCUUUAAUUUAAAACGUUUCUCAAAAAUAUGGCACCAUUUCAUGCAGAUAAUUAAAGAAUAUGGACAAUAUUUGACAAUGUAAAUAUACCAUCAUUUGUAAAACAUAUCUCCAUUGUGGCACCAUAAAAGAUUCUUUAAUUCUGUAAUUGAGAACUUAUCAGUCACUCUUUGUACUGUAAAUACUUGAACAUUCAAAAACCUUGGGUUUUAGGAAUGAUUUGAGCCUUGGUAAGCCAAGGAACCUCUGCUAUCUCGAAUGGUAAUUCAUUUAAUAUAAUUAAAGAAAUGUACAGUGUUAUUAUUACUAUAAAUUUAAUAAAUAGAAUAAAAAUGACAACUGAUAAAUACCAUUGUAAAGUGUCCUUUGGGUGCUUUAUAAAGGUUAACCCCUCUAUCCUGCAUAAGCAGUUGAUUUCAAUUAGGAGCUCCCUGGCUGAUUAUAUAUAGAAGAAGAAUUAAGAAAUUGGGGGUGGGGAUUUGCAUAGCGUUGAUCAAGUCAUGUUGCCUAGCAACCCAAAUCAUUUCUGUCAGACAAAAAAAGAGAAAAGAACAGAGAUUUAAUAAUCAGGUUGUGUGCAUUAAAAUGCAAAGCAGGCUGUCAGACUGCACUUGAAGGACAGCAGGAAUUAGCCGAGGGUAAUUUCUUUACUUACAGGUGAAUAGCAUGACCUUCCCCAGCAAGUGACUGUCAGAAUCUCUACAAAUUAGGCCAGAUAGGUUUUAAGUGUGUAUAUAUUGAAAGUCAAAUUUAACACUUUUUUAUUUUUGGUCAUGUUGAUUUUUCUUCUAUAUGAAUAGUAUUUUUGUCAUUAGGAUAAUAAUAAUAAUAAUAUAAAAGAAAUGCAUUCUAAUUUUCGGAUAGAUGAUUUGCCGUCAUCCUUAAUUCUUGUGUAAUCCCUGGCACCCUCCCACCUAAUGGCAGCCAUCCUCUUUUUGUCCCAGCACAUUCUUGGAAGUGCGUGUGCGCUCCACGCGCAGGCCUCCCGUGCAGCAAAAAGCACUGUCAGGUGGUCGCGAGCCAUUAGUACACCCCCACCCCCCUUGUGCUCCAUAAAUUGCAUGCAUUAUAUCCUGAAAUGUCACAAACAUUAAAUAACGACUGGUUGGGAUUCGAAGCAAAACAUUGUUUUUAAUGCAAAAUAUUGUAUCAGAAAUUAAACAUCGAAAUUGAAAUCUUUAGCGUUGACACAGUUUGGUUAUUCUGCAAAUCUAUAUUUUAUCCAAGAUCUGUGCAUACACAUAUUAUUUGCAGGCAGAUUUUGCCAUAGUGACAAUCUGCCAUGUGCCAAUGCUGUUUAAGCAAUAUUAAGUGUUUGCAAGAUGUUAAUGAAUUAAUGAAUAUUGUCACAUUUAUUGGGAUUGAUACGUAGUUUUCCGCUCAUUUAGUCUUAUUUCAUUUACAAUUAUUUACUUGUAUAUAAAAUCUAGUUAGGUCUAUACUGUAGAUUUUAAGGGAAUCUGCUCACUCACACACACACACACACACACACACACACACACUAGUUCUCUCUCCAUCUCCUCACUAGAUGGCGUAAGAACAUCACUCCAUAAGGUUUUAAUCUGAGCAAACGUCCUCUGCAAAGGAUAAACUGUUUUUCCCCUCAAUAGAUCUUUAUCCAUGCAUUGUGGUCACUCUUGAAACCCUUGUAUUAAAUUAACAUGAAAGAUCCAUUUGUGCAUUAUAGCAUUUGAUUGGCUUGGCAGUAGAAGUCAGUAGCAUUCUUCCAAAUGCAAUUAUUGUACACAGGAAAAAAAAACCCAAUACAUUUUACUUUUGUAGUGUGCCUUACAUGUGUUUUUCAAUGUAGAUAUGUUUUAAUUAGUACACAUCCUUUGUCAGUAAGAGGAAAUGUCAUAUUAUUAGAAGGCAGAAAAUACCAAGGAACUCAUAAUCUACUUGAGAUGAAUCAACAGCGCCUCUGCUGGUUGCAACCAAGUAGUGCACUCCAUUUUUGCACCAACCGAUUUAAGACUGUACAAUAUUUCAACAAUCAAUUACACAUAUUGGAUCAAAUAUUAAAUGAUGAAUCAGUUGGCUAUUAUUACUAUCAUCACUGGUUGUAAAAGUAUACAGUAUACAAUAUUUUUCUAGAGUGUCUGAGUAUGUAUAGUAUGUGGUUUUAUGUAACUUUUGAUCACCUACGGGAAUUUUUUUUUUUUUGAUUAAAAAAACAGUAAAGACAUUUCUUUUUUUCCCAAGGAAUCUAAUAAUUGUGACUGAAUUUACAGGGCUUUUACUGGUUGCACUAAAAUCCAAAGAAUCCAUUCGAGACAUCCAAAAAUAUUAACACAAAACACAUUCUAUAGUGAAUAAUCAUAGUUUUACCUACGUAAAACAAUGCAAAGGAACAGGAAUAUAAAGGAAAUUACUUUUAUUGGAGACUCUUGUUGAGAAAGAUGAGUAAAGAGGCAAUGAGCGAAGAAGAAGAGGGGAAGGGAGAGCCAAAAGCACUUCUUAAUUACACUCAUUCAGUAGUGUUUCUUGUCUUCUUUAUCAAAUGGCUGGCACUUGUAAUAUUCUUUGGCCCCAUGGUGGGUUGUUUUGCAGCCGUGAUCAAUUUUUAAAAUGAAAUGUUAGCAAAGUAUUAUUGUCAACAAGUAAUGACAUCAUCAAGUGGUGCUUGGUGCUAGGGCAUCAUGAGUUUGGUGGGAGUUGAGUGCAUGUUUCAUAAGAAUAAAACACAAUUGGAUUCAUUAAUAUCAGGACAAGACUGAGUCACCGGGUGGGAUUCCUAUUUUUAUUCAAAAUAACAUGCGGGCAAAUUGACAAAUUUGUUCCGCGCAAUAGUCGUGUACGAAGAUGGAGACAUAUUAAUGGCAAUCAUUUUCAUGGAAUACUGGUGUAUACUGAUACAGAUGUAUGAAAGCGAAAGUACUAUUGUGCCUAAAUUAAAGUCCAACUCAUGUUAUUUUUUCUGCCUUUUUUACUGUGUGAUUCAUUUAGUGUCUUCUCGUGGUUCCCCAGAAGCCCCUCUGUGCACUGCCUCUCCCAUUCACCUCCAAGUAGCAUGUCAUUAGCUCAUGGCCGUGUUGUCGCUCGCCGUUGUUGUCCAUGGGCCGGCUCCUGGGAGCGUCUGAAUUGGCCUGGGAAAGAGACUGACCGAGGCUUAACUGGGGUAUAGCUGCGAGGCUCUGUG